UCAGCUAGAAUCAUGCUGCUGUAAAUACUGGAGUUAUUAAUACACUCUCAUUACGCUACAUUAAUUAGGAGACCUGGAGGACAACUUACAAGUCCUUUGAAAGACUAGUUCCAGUUAUUGUAUGGAUCUGAUCCAUGCCAGGAAAGCUGUAUGUCUGCAGUCCUAUCAAAUGAAUGACCUGGCCUUUUAUGCUGGAUCUGAGCAGUGUCAGUGGCUUCAAUGGCUUCCAAGUGAUGACCAAAAGCCCAACUCUUCCCCACCUAUCAGCAAAUGAUGUGAAAUGUGGUCACUAAGAGUAUAUGCACCUGCUUCCAGGGGACAACCAGGGCACAAGCUUCUCACAUCUCCCCAGGGUCCAUACAGGCUCUCAAGGUUUUCUAGCUGUGGCAACUGAGACAAAGAGAAGGUAAACGAUCAGCUGGCAGACAAGCACGAAACUCCAGCUCCCCAGAUUACUUGGCUGCUCCCAUCUGCUGGCUGACAUUCUCUCCUUUACUGCAAGAAACAUGGUCAGUGACUAAUAAGUAUUUAUUGAUCUCUGCUUGAGAUACUUGCUGAGAAAUGUAGAUAUCAAUGAAUAUUUGAUCUGAAUUAAUGCUAACAACAACAGUUUUUCCUUUAUUGCCUCAUUUAUGUAGGAUAUUCAUGCCUGCAUGAUCACUUGUAAACAGUAGCUGACCCUACAAUCUGAGGAGAAGGGUAUAUCGGUGGGAUAAACUCUAAUGAAUUAAAAUGCUAUUCAUUGUACUAUUUUUUAGCCAAAAGUUACCACUGUAGUUGUUGUUUGAGGGGCAAGUCAAAAUAUUAUUGAUUCUCAGCAGCUGUACUUGAUAAGUAGAAUAUAGGUCUAAUUCAAAGCCCAUUGCAAUCAAUUAAAGGGACUUCCUAUUGAUUGUAGGAGGCUUUAGAUUCUUUUCUAAACCAGACCUGCUUGCUCUCUAUCUCUUUCUCCUCCUGUAUUCCAUUCUUUUUGUUUCGUGCCCUUUCAUUCUCCACAGCUGCUCUGGUGGGAAAGGACCAAGGCAGUGUUCCUUAGGAGGUAACAUAAAGGAUGCUGUGCUCUCCCACCUCCCUAGUUCUCCCAGGAGCUGUGGAGCCUGCACCCUGAAAAUGAAUGGUGGAGCUUUAUUUGUGUUGAUUCCUCUGACUGAAGGACCUCAGUCCAACCUUUGUUCAUCCCACCACCUCUCCCCUCAUUCCUCAUUUUUCUGUCCCCUCGUGUUUAUUGCCUGUGUCUGCCAGCAUUACUACUACUGGUUGCUGUUACAGCGGUACUCGUGGCACACUUCAGGGGCUAUUCGGACGUUUGGAUGUAAGGGUGCUGGUAUAUCUGCUCUUCUCUCUAAGGUUACUUCUCAACUCUGCUGUUUGGAGGAGUAAAUCUCCUCCCAGUGUCCCAGUGCUUUUGGUUUCUCUGUAGUAAAAAGAAAGAAAAUGUUACUGAGCCUGUGGUGCUGUAUCUGUAUUACAGCCUGGGAGCCUGACACAGGGUUUGCAAAGUAGUUUGCAGAGGCUUUAAGGGCAAUAGCUGAAGAUCACUGGAUAAAGCAAUUCAGCCAUAACCACUGAACACAUUCCCUUCCUAUGUCCUGGUGCUUAGAAAAGGACAUGCCAGGCCUGUAUGGAAAUCGGCGAGACCUGAAACAUUGGUAUUUACCUAUGGAAGGUGAAAGGUUUCUGUGUAGCAGUGAGAAUUUGUGCAUGCAUGUUUUCAAGUCUAUAUAUGACUGAUUCACUCCAAUACAAUUUCUGCUCUUACAUCAGAAAAGCAGCUUGAGUGUUCUUAAUGGCUUUUAAAAUUGAAUUGUGAUGAUGACUCAGAAGAGAGUAUAGCUGAAGAUGGAACAAAGUCACAGUUUGUGUGUUACUGCCUGAAUCAUAAUUGUUGCCAUUAGUAGGCAUACAUUCAAAUCUUUAUGGAACAGAGCUUUUCAAAAAGUGUCUUCAAAAUCAAGGCUAUCCAGUACCAAGGAAACUAUUGGAAUACUACACGUAUAGUAGGUAGGUGCUUACUUUUAUUAAAUCAACAGGAAAGAAGGGAAUACUUAAAGUUGCAAAUACUUCAUUCUUCCAACUGCCCUGAAAGAAAAAACAAAAGUAGAAUUCCAAAGCCAUAGUUUUAUUGAAAGAUCUGCAAGUGAAUGGCUUGAGAGAAGAAUUUGUUGGAUUCCUUUCAAGUGAUAUGUACAGAAAGAUAUACAUACUUUGGCUCCUAUUCCAUCUUUAAUGUACUCCUGAGAUAUAUACAUUGUUAUUAACAACCAGAUUUGACGUCAUGUAUAUGGAUUUAAAGUGUAGCAGAGAUUACUCAAGUUUGCUGAUUUAAUAAACUACAUUUUUUACUACAGGUUUCAAGAAAGAAAAACACAUGCUUGCCUGAUUUUUUAGAUUGUAAAAUUCCCUCUGGUGCAUUAUCACAUCAAACACAAUAUUUUGUUUAAAAAGGAAAAAAAAAAAAAAAAACACAAAUUAGCACAUGUAUCCCAGUUUCACUUCUGUUCCUUUUCAAAUCACUCUUUAAUUUCACUGCAGUCUUACUACUUCUGCAAAAGACUGAAUUUGGCACUUGGCAGAGAUCUCAAUUUAUUAUGGUCAGGAGAAGGAAUGUUUUUUAGUUGGAAAUAUCACUAAAUUUCUACAUUUUAGUUUCAUAAUUGUAAAAAUAGCCAGUAUUUCAAAGUCUUUCACCAAGUAAUAUUUUGGAGAUACCAUGCUGGAAUU
Oxyura jamaicensis (ruddy duck) is the source of this 2721-nucleotide long non-coding RNA. RefSeq lists it as uncharacterized. The transcript has 3 exons. The record is from RefSeq and is a predicted model, not a curated record. Lineage: Eukaryota; Metazoa; Chordata; Aves; Anseriformes; Anatidae.